RNAcentral lists this ribosomal RNA (253 nucleotides) under uncultured bacterium. RNAcentral describes it as "partial 16S ribosomal RNA". It matches the Rfam family "Bacterial small subunit ribosomal RNA", at positions 524 to 776 of the family's 1533-position model. The record is from RNAcentral.
UACGAAGGGGGCUAGCGUUGUUCGGAAUUACUGGGCGUAACGCGCGUGUAGGCGGGUCUUUACGUCAGGGGUGAAAUGCCAAGGCUCAACCUUGGAACUGCCUUUGAUACUGGAGACCUUGAGUCCGGGAGAGGUGAGUGGAAUUGCGAGUGUAGAGGUGAAAUUCGUAGAUAUUCGCAAGAACACCAGUGGCGAAGGCGGCUCACUGGCCCGGAACUGACGCUGAGACGCGAAAGCGUGGGGAGCAAACAGG